CACACAGAGCAUGUUACCAACAGCUUUUUAUUUAACUUUCUCCCUGCCCAGAGCUUCUCUUCACUGACUGUCUGGGACAAGCCAGCGCCGUGGAGCUGUCUCUUUUUCAUUUCUCAGCCUCACUGGCCAUUCCAGUCCUCAAGAAAUAUUUGCUUGAUGUGACUUCUUGGAACCAAAUGUUGGUACCCAACUGAAAGGGAUGGAGCCCUCCGAACUUGGAAGUUCCGCUGAGGAUGAGGGCGGCCGCCAUUUUGAAACGAACAGACUCCAAAAGCACGCUCCACUGGGCCUGCCCCUGCGAUCUUAAAACAGAUGUCCGUGAAAUGUGACCCAUGAAUAGCAGUUAUCUGGAGAGAGAGCUCUGAAGCUGAUGAAACCAUUAGAGCCACUGAAGGCACCUGGUAAAUGCGAUGCGGGGAGUACAGAAGAGAGAAUCAGAAACACACCGGCACUCUCAUUCCCAUGAGGCCACUUACAGUGGGUAAAACGUCGCUUGAGAAGAGCGGCAGCUCCAGCCUGAAUGAGAAGCACGUCCUCCUGGGAGUUACGUCAGCAGCCUGACCUUCCAUCUUCCUCCUCUAAAGAAGCGUCCCUGCCACCCUGAGCACGAAGCCCUCGGGUUCCUAAAGGCCGAGGCGCUUCUUCUCAUUUACUUCCCUUGAGGAAGAAAGACCAGCCCAUCCACCCUCAUUUCCCACCGAAGGGCAUCGCAAAUAAAGUUUGCCCACGCAACCAGGCCACCACCAUUAAUUUCUCUCUGCCCUGCUCUUACAUUCUCCUCAAGGUUUUCAGUCCCCUAGAGAGGCUCCCUUCCCUCUUUUCUUUCCUUCCUCCAGCCCCCCUUUUCACCUCCCUCCACCAUUGUUUGAGGUUAAGAAGCAUGCUACGGUGUUCUAUAAAUCACUUGGCAAGAGUAGACGACAAAAGCAAAAUAUAAUUCAGAUUAAAGUCAUCCUCCCGCUGAAAUGAUAGUUUCUUAAAUAAAUGGCGAUGCUGCCUAUCAAUCUUGCUGGCAACUGGUCCUCUCAUAUUCAUCUUUCUGGGGGUGAUUUAGGAUCCACCUGGGUCCUCCGAGAAGAUUCUCCCAUCAUUUCCUUCCCGUCUCUCUGGAUCUUGCUGCUGGGCUUGGCGCAGUUGACAAAUUCUCCAAGUAAUCCCUCAAAAGAUUGGAGAAAUGCUCCGAACGCUCCAUUAAACUUAUUUUCCAUGCUUUAAGAGACCCAAAACUAUGUCCAAUAAAUAAGUGUUCCCUGUGAUUUACUGAAAUGCUCCUCUGAUUUAAAGUUAUAGAGGGAAAAAUAUGGCGCCCCUGGGAGGGAAGGACCAGCCUCACAAGUGAGACCAGAUGUGAGAUUUCUG
RNAcentral lists this long non-coding RNA (1359 nucleotides) under Homo sapiens (human). RNAcentral's name for it is "HSALNT0346210". The record is from RNAcentral. Lineage: Eukaryota; Metazoa; Chordata; Mammalia; Primates; Hominidae.